UAAAAUAAUUAUAUAUCAAUAAUCAUUAAAAUUAAUAUCAUCAAUAACACAUUAUACUAAAUAAUAUAUUAUAGAUAAAGGUAGAUUAGUUUAAAGUUAACUUUGAUCUUAAUUUGUUUUAAUAAUUGGUUUAAAGAUAAUUAUUCCAAACUUAUGAUUAUUCUAUAAAAUGAUCUUUGACAAGGUAACCAUAAAUUUAAAUUUCGAAGUAACUAAUAUAUUAAAAGUAGCUCAAAUAUAAUUCGUAAUAAAAACACAACAAUAUAUUUUCAAAGAAAACAUAUAAUAAAAAAAAUAGGUAAAGGGAUCCAAAUGAUAUCAAAUAUUAAGAACUUAUCCAUGAUAUUAGUAUCAGAAUUUAAUAGAUUAAGAUAAAAUUUAAACCGAAAGAUCAUAAGUAUCAUAAAAAUAUCAUUAAAUUAAAGUUAAAAAGUAAAGAAAAGAAUUAUUAUUAUAAUAUUAAAAUAAUAAAAAUAUAUAAAAAACUAUAUAUAUUAUUAAAAUAUUAAAAUUACUAUUUGUACCGAUACCAAACAAGACCGUACCGGUAUUUUCGAUACCAGUACCGGUUGACACCAAGCUUAUCCCACCCCGUGAUACUAAAAAAUCAUUAAAUUAAAGUUAAACAGUAAAAAAAAGGAAUUAUUAUUAUAAUAUUAAAAUAAUAAAAGUAUUAAAAUAACUAUAUAUAUAUAUAUAUAUAUAUUCUAAUAUAUUAUUAACAAGAUUUUGGCUAAAUUAAUUAGAUUAUUAUAAAUAAUAAUAAUAAUUUACAAAUAAAACAACACAAUUUGCAACAAAGCAAUGCAUGAAACACCAUAUUAACAUAUAGUACAGUACAUUAAUGCUAGAACCUAAUCUAUACUAUAUUAUAAAGCAUUUCAUAAGGAUACCAACCAAAUUUAAGUAAUUACAAUCUUUUAUACUUAUGGUACAACAACUUAAUGAUGUUAGUAAGGGGAUACCAACCAAAUUUAAGUAA
This 982-nucleotide long non-coding RNA is filed under the name Helianthus annuus (common sunflower). Its description in RNAcentral is "hypothetical non coding rna". Lineage: Eukaryota; Viridiplantae; Streptophyta; Magnoliopsida; Asterales; Asteraceae. The record is from RNAcentral.